AUGAAUAUGGCCACAUCUUGCAUCCCCAUUUUCAUCCUCUUCUUCCUGAGCUCAUAUUGCAAAUCUGAUGAUACUCUUACACAUGCAAAACCACUCUUUUCCGGCGACAAGCUCGUCUCCAGCAAGGGAGUCUUUGCUCUCGGCUUCUUCUUCCCAGCGAGCUCCAACACGAGCCUAUACCUUGGUAUAUGGCACAAUCAGAUACCCGAUCGACUCUUUGUGUGGAUCGCCAACCGCGAUAACCCAAUAACUACACCUUCUUCUGCCAUGCUCGCUAUCAAUAGCAGCUCCAUCGUUGUCCAAACGACCAUCGGCCUACAAGGUGAACUCUACUUUAUGUUCACAGUCUCUGAUGGAUCACCAUUCACCUUCUUCAUGCUUGAGCACUCUGGCAAGUUGACAUCUCUAAGCUGGGACAAUCAGUCAUCCUUGUUAGACAACGUUACAUACUGUCACGAUCCCGACCAGGAGGUGGUGUUCGGCUGGUGUUAG
Molecule: ribosomal RNA, 492 nt
Filed under: Triticum aestivum (bread wheat)
Lineage: Eukaryota; Viridiplantae; Streptophyta; Magnoliopsida; Poales; Poaceae
Description: partial small subunit ribosomal RNA
Source: RNAcentral